GCCUCCGUGGUGUAAUGGUCAGCACACUGAGCCGGUAUUUCAGAGGUCCGCGGUUCGAUUCCCGGCGAAGGCG
RNAcentral lists this transfer RNA (73 nucleotides) under Stegodyphus mimosarum. It matches the Rfam family "tRNA". From Rfam's summary of the family: Transfer RNA (tRNA) molecules are approximately 80 nucleotides in length. Their secondary structure includes four short double-helical elements and three loops (D, anti-codon, and T loops). Lineage: Eukaryota; Metazoa; Arthropoda; Arachnida; Araneae; Eresidae. The record is from Rfam by way of RNAcentral.